Molecule: ribosomal RNA, 490 nt
Filed under: uncultured bacterium
Lineage: Bacteria
Description: partial 16S ribosomal RNA
Rfam family: Bacterial small subunit ribosomal RNA
Source: RNAcentral
AUUGAACGCUGGCGGCAGGCCUAACACAUGCAAGUCGAACGGUAACAGGAAACAGCUUGCUGUUUCGCUGACGAGUGGCGGACGGGUGAGUAAUGUCUGGGAAACUGCCUGAUGGAGGGGGAUAACUACUGGAAACGGUAGCUAAUACCUCGUAACGUCGCAAGACCAAAGGGGGGGACCUUCGGGCCGCUUGCCAUCGGAUGUGCCCAGAUGGGAUUAGCUAGUAGGUGGGGUAACGUCUCACCUAGGCGACGAUCCCUAGCUGGUCUGAGGGGAUGACAAGCGACACUGGAACUGAGACACGGUCCAGACUCCUACGGGAGGCAGCAGUGGGGAAUAUUGCACAGUGGGCGGAAGCCUGAUGCAGCCAUGCCGCGUGUAUGAAGAAGGCCUUCGGGUUGUAAAGUACUUUCAGCGGGGAGGAAGGGAGUAAAGUUAAUACCUUUACUCAUUGACGUUACCCGCAGAAGAAGCACCGGCUAACUCCGUG